UUUGGGACUAAGCCUUAGAGCAGUCUAGAGAGGGUUAGCUAGGUGACUUAAGCUUUAGGAUACAGCCUUAGGGCAGUCUAGAGGGUUAGCUAGGUGACUUAACCUUUAGGAUACAGCCUUAGGGCAGUCUAGAGGGUUAGCUAGGUGACUUAACCUUUAGGACGAAGCCUUAGAGCAGUCUAGAGGGUUAGCUAGGUGACUUAACCUUUAGGACGAAGCCUUAGAGCAGUCUAGAGGGUUAGCUAGAUGACUUAACCUUUAGGAUACAGCCUUAGGGCAGUCUAGAGGGUUAGCUAGAUGACUUAACCUUUAGGAUACAGCCUUAGGGCAGUCUAGAGGGUUAGCUAGGUGACUUAACUUUGUGGCCUCAGGAAGAUGGUUCAUCCGUUUAACUCUAACCAAGAUGAUUACUGCAGUAAUGAGAAGACACACGCAAUGAGAGGAGAGGGUAGAGGAGAGGAGGGUAG
Long non-coding RNA from Oncorhynchus tshawytscha (Chinook salmon), 467 nucleotides. The record is from Ensembl. Lineage: Eukaryota; Metazoa; Chordata; Actinopteri; Salmoniformes; Salmonidae.